RNAcentral lists this ribosomal RNA (365 nucleotides) under uncultured bacterium. RNAcentral's name for it is "bacterial SSU rRNA". It matches the Rfam family "Bacterial small subunit ribosomal RNA", at positions 29 to 416 of the family's 1533-position model. The record is from RNAcentral.
AACGAACGCUGGCGGCAUGCCUAACACAUGCAAGUCGAACGGACGGUAGCAAUACCGUUAGUGGCGGACGGGUGAGUAACGCGUGGGAACCUGCCUCGAAGUUCGGAAUAACCGCGGGAAACUGCGGCUAAUACCGGAUGUGGCCUGAGGGUCAAAGGCGCAAGUCGCUUCGAGAGGGGCCCGCGUCCGAUUAGCUAGUUGGUGGGGUAACGGCCUACCAAGGCGACGAUCGGUAGCUGGUCUGAGAGGAUGAUCAGCCACACUGGGACUGAGACACGGCCCAGACUCCUACGGGAGGCAGCAGUGGGGAAUAUUGGACAAUGGGGAAACCCUGAUCCAGCAAUGCCGCGUGGGUGAUGAAGGCC